RNAcentral lists this ribosomal RNA (222 nucleotides) under uncultured bacterium. Its description in RNAcentral is "partial 16S ribosomal RNA". It matches the Rfam family "Bacterial small subunit ribosomal RNA", at positions 524 to 743 of the family's 1533-position model. The record is from RNAcentral.
UACGGAGGGAGCUAGCGUUGUUUCGGAAUUACUGGGCGUAAAGCGCACGUAGGCGGCUUUUUAAGUCAGGGGUGAAAUCCCGGGGCUCAACCCCGGAACUGCCCUUGAAACUGGAGAGCUAGAAUCUUGGGAGAGGCGAGUGGAAUUCCGAGUGUAGAGGUGAAAUUCGUAGAUAUUCGGAAGAACACCAGUGGCGAAAGGCGACUGCGCUGGACAAAGUCA